UUUUAUAUAGUUUAAUAAAAACAUUUUAUUUUCAUUAAAAAGAUGACUUUAUUCUAAGUCUUUAAAUA
This 68-nucleotide transfer RNA is filed under the name Nesophrosyne sp. 29 GMB-2012. RNAcentral's name for it is "tRNA-Glu". The record is from RNAcentral. Lineage: Eukaryota; Metazoa; Arthropoda; Insecta; Hemiptera; Cicadellidae.